RNAcentral lists this ribosomal RNA (254 nucleotides) under uncultured bacterium. Its description in RNAcentral is "partial 16S ribosomal RNA". It matches the Rfam family "Bacterial small subunit ribosomal RNA", at positions 524 to 776 of the family's 1533-position model. The record is from RNAcentral.
CACGUAGGCACCAAGCGUUGUCCGGAUUUAUUGGGCGUAAAGAGCUCGUAGGCGGUUCGGUAAGUCGGAUGUGAAAUCUCCACGCUCAACGUGGAGGGGCCAUUCGAUACUGCCGUGACUCGAGUCCGGUAGGGGAGUGUGGAAUUCCCGGUGUAGCGGUGAAAUGCGCAGAGAUCGGGAGGAACACCCGUAGCGAAGGCGGCACUCUGGGCCGGUACUGACGCUGAGGAGCGAAAGCGUGGGGAGCGAACAGG